RNAcentral lists this long non-coding RNA (3642 nucleotides) under Homo sapiens (human). Its description in RNAcentral is "HSALNT0308629". Lineage: Eukaryota; Metazoa; Chordata; Mammalia; Primates; Hominidae. The record is from RNAcentral.
AGAUAGCUAGUCUAGCAUAGUCAGGCUCCUGAGGAUGCCAGCCCUUCUGGUAGCACUGCAAGUGAUUAAAGCUUACAUGACUGCUUUUCUUCCACAGUGUGAUGUAUCUACUUCCAGGUUCUUGUAUAACUGCCACACGUUUCUGCUUGAUAUAUACCUAUCAAAAGCUUGACAGUAGUAAAUACUUAUGCAGGAGGGGCUGGCCAGAUGAUGAGUGAGCUCAUAUCCUUUUGAUCGCUUGUGGAAUUGCUUUGUACUAAACUGUGCUUUGCCAGUAUACUAUUCCUGCUUUUAUGCCAGAGGUAGCAAAUUUUUUGUGUGAAAAAUCAGACCUUGGCGAUGACCUUAAACAGCAGGAUAUGAAGAACUCCCACAAGCUUAGCGUUCCAAUAAUGGAACACUAGGCAUAAAUGGGUUAACUGAAGAGAAUAUUUGCAGUGUUAACCCUAUAAAACUCACCUUUAUAAUUUCUGUGAGGAAUAUUGUUAGAAAUGUUGUCAUACAUGAAGUGACACUAUCUGUCUGGAAAAAUUUUCCUCAGCCUGUGGUUCUCCCACUUCUCCCUCUUUGUUCUAGCAAUGAAUCACAAAACAGAUUGGGUUUCCAUCCUUGAAUCAGAUCCUAGGAAGAUCAGAGUUAAAUUUGGACCCAAUUUUUUAGCUUUUCUUUUUCAAUUUCUUUGCUUCCAUAUUUAAAUGUAUCUUAAAAACUUUUUUAAAGCCACUUCAAAACCAUUCUGAAAUGCAAUGAAGUAUAAAGAGACAUUCUAUUUUUUGACACAAAAACGAGAACUCACUUAAUUUUGCCGUAGUUUAUGGAUAAUUUUACAUUUUUAGCAAUAAUUGUCCUUUCACACUCACAAAUUCAUAUAAAUAUAAUUCAAAGAAUAAAAGUGUUUUUUUAGUAACUGUAGAGGCAUUGGUGCAUAUUGGGAAAAACCUUAGUGGACUUGAGGAGUAAAGGCUUUUAAACCUUAUCUAAAGGUCGCAAAGAUACCAUGUAGAUUAUUAAGAGUUGGUUUACCAGAAAGGUCAAUGAUUUCUUAGACACAUUUAAAAAUAGUCUGACAUCCUCAUCUGUGAACAUUUUAAAUUUUUCUUAUUGAACUAGAUUGCUUAAGUCUGCUUAAUCUCAAAGUGGCUCUCAUAUGAUUGAAAUGUUGACAGAUGCAAGGGUAGACACUCUAGUCCAGGAAUUCUGUUUUAGGUUUUUCUACAUUUUCCUUUGAGGCAUAACCUAACUGUUUACUUCUUCCAGGCAGGAGCUAACAUGAUUGUGUCUGGCAGUGCUAUUAUGAGGAGUGAAGACCCCAGAUCUGUGAUCAAUCUAUUAAGAAAUGUUUGCUCAGAAGCUGCUCAGAAACGUUCUCUUGAUCGGUGAAACCAUAAGGAGCCCAGUGUUCCUGUUCAUGAAAUCUCCCUUUUACUGGAAAACAGGAAUAUUGACUACCAAAUCACAAUGCAAUUGAAGCCGUACUGCUUUUUUGAGCAGUUAUUCAUUCCAGUGAUUAAAACUGAUUGUGCAGAAUAUUCUAAGAGGUCAGAAAUUGGUGUGUAUAACUACAUUUUUAGUGAUGCAAUUUAUUGAUUAGUGAGUAAGAUACUGUUUUUAUUGAGAGAUUUGAUUUUUAUAAAGUAAAAAUACGGCUGCAUUAGGGUUACAAACAGAAAAGUGUCUUAAUGUCUAAGGAGGGCAUAUUAGCUACACUACAAAAACAAAUUUUGUCUGUACUUCUGAAAAGAAUUUUGUUGUUUCUCAGCUGUUUUCCAAAAGCAAAGGAAGUCUUUAUGGUUUUUUUCUAUUUCAUGUUAUUGUGAUUUGUUUAUAAGUUUGGGUGGGGUGCAUACCAUAUUCUUGGUUCUUAAAAUCUAUCACUUUUCACCUUACACUUGAUGUGUGAAAACUAUAAAAACAAUGUGUGAAACCCAGGGGUUCUAAAAUACAAGCAUAGAUUUUAUCAGGGUGUUUUGUCAAAGCAGGUUAUUCAGUGAUUCCUCCCCACCAUUCUUAAGAACGUUAAAUAAUGCUGUUGUGUUAGCUCUGAGUAGAAAGGAAAAAGUAAAACCUCUGUUUGGAGGUAAUAUUGGGUUGAAUUCUGACUGCCCCUUUCUAGCUGGACCUUUAACAAAUCACCCAAUCUUUUUUGUGUUUCUCUAAAGUCAUUUAUACAUUAAAUGUAAUUAUAGCAACUGUGGGGUUCUGUUGAGAAUUAAGAGCUAACACUAUAUAUGUAAAGUUUCCAGUACUAGUCCCAGAAUUUAGAAUAUGCUCAACACAAAGUAAACAGCAUUAUAUAAGUUUAUAUUUUUGUGAGUUAUAAAGUACUUUGAUAUAUUCUCAUUAAAUCUGUAAAUCACCUCUAUAAGUAAGUGGUAAUAAUAAAGCAGAUAUUUUUGUCCCCAUUUAAAAAAUGAAGAAAUUAAUGCUUAAUAGGGUGGUACCCUGGAAAGGAUCUGGGAAGUGGUAGAAUUUCUGGUCUGUACUUUUACAAAUGGAGCCCUUGGGAGGUGGGUUAGGUAAAAGAAGCUUUUUACUUAACGUUGUCUUAUUUCCAGUCUAAUUUUACGCUGUAGCAGAACCAGAUGGCUGAGAAAAUUCUGGAACUAUGGAUCUUGACCCCAAGGAUAUAUUAUUUUAUUCCAAGAAAGAUCAGUUGUGCAGAAGAUUCUGACCUUAUUUGAGGCUUACAUAUAGGUUUGGAGAUGUGGAAAGGAGUGGAAAAAGAAAUAUGUAAGCUGAAGUGCCAAACUCACACUGAAAUAAAGGGCAUGGCCUACCAGCUGACAAGGAGUGUCUGGUUUCAAGAUGGCAAAUGACCCUAAACAUGAUAGACAAAUACGUUUUACAUAGGUACAUGCACAGAUAGGCACAUAUAAAUCCACAUUUGCAAGCAAAAAGUGGAACCUGUAAAGCAGAAUUUCUGAGGAAUCUCUAAAAGACUAAUACUAUAUGGAAUUUGAAGAGGAAACCCAGAGCAGAAGCACAUAGUGAAGUACUGCCACAAAGAUGUGUGACGCCACUAAAGGUGCUCUAGACCCACAAGAAAGGAAAACUGGGAGCAGGACAACUAUCUGGAUAUUGACUGCACAUGCCAAUAUCUCAGUCAGACUAACAGAAUCAGAGCUUUAGGCAGAGAAAUGAAUGGUUGGAGAGAGAAGGCAAUGCCCAGGUGCCCUGCUUUGAAAUGUCCCGCCCAUCCCCAAAUUAGUCUGAAAAUUUCAAAUGUUGUAUAAAUUCCCUUCCCAUCAAAAGUGUCCCAUAAACAGCAGUGGUAGAAGAGUUUUAACUGAGUAUCACAGCUUCAAUGAUGAGUAUAGAAAACUCCAAAAAUCUGAAUACCAACACAAUCAAAAAAGAGGUACAAACCACAAGUGGAAGAACCAUCUCAAGAAAUAAUGAAGCAUUCAUGGAAUACAGAUUAGCAACUCUUUAAAACAGUAUUGCCAAGAGAAACAGAUGGCAUUGCAGUUGUCAGAUCUCAUUAAGGUCUUAUAUCUGAAACAGUUCCACUGUCUUCCAUAACUUUCAUAACUUUGAACAUUUUGUCUCGGGACAAAUUCCAACAAGUGAAAUCGCAUCAUUAAAAGGCUCAUAGGCGAAAGGGAAUUGCCUUAUUUCGAAUGAGACUUUGGACUGUGGACU